ACAGCAGUAGCCGCGGGAAUACGUAGGUGGCAAGCGUUGUCCGGAAUUAUUGGGCGUAAAGGGCUCGCAGGCGGUUUCUUAAGUCUGAUGUGAAAGCCCCCGGCUCAACCGGGGAGGGUCAUUGGAAACUGGGAAACUUGAGUGCAGAAGAGGAGAGUGGAAUUCCACGUGUAGCGGUGAAAUGCGUAGAGAUGUGGAGGAACACCAGUGGCGAAGGCGACUCUCUGGUCUGUAACUGACGCUGAGGAGCGAAAGCGUGGGGAGCGAACAGGAUUAGAUACCCGAGUAGUCCCUGUCUCUUAUAC
Molecule: ribosomal RNA, 305 nt
Filed under: uncultured bacterium
Lineage: Bacteria
Description: partial 16S ribosomal RNA
Rfam family: Bacterial small subunit ribosomal RNA
Source: RNAcentral